RNAcentral lists this ribosomal RNA (1287 nucleotides) under metagenome. RNAcentral describes it as "bacterial SSU rRNA". It matches the Rfam family "Bacterial small subunit ribosomal RNA", at positions 242 to 1520 of the family's 1533-position model. The record is from RNAcentral.
UAGCUAGUUGGUGAGGUAAAGGCUUACCAAGGCGACGAUCUGUAGCGGGUCUGAGAGGAUGAUCCGCCACACUGGAACUGAGACACGGUCCAGACUCCUACGGGAGGCAGCAGUGGGGAAUUUUGGACAAUGGGGGCAACCCUGAUCCAGCCAUGCCGCGUGAGUGAAGAAGGCCUUCGGGUUGUAAAGCUCAUUCGGCCGGGAAGAAAUCGCAUGGGCCAAUACCCUGUGUGGAUGACGGUACCGGAAUAAGAAGCACCGGCUAACUACGUGCCAGCAGCCGCGGUAAUACGUAGGGUGCGAGCGUUAAUCGGAAUUACUGGGCGUAAAGCGUGCGCAGGCGGUUUUGUAAGACAGGCGUGAAAUCCCCGGGCUUAACCUGGGAACUGCGUUUGUGACUGCAAGGCUAGAGUACGGCAGAGGGGGGUGGAAUUCCACGUGUAGCAGUGAAAUGCGUAGAGAUGUGGAGGAACACCAAUGGCGAAGGCAGCCCCCUGGGUCGAUACUGACGCUCAUGCACGAAAGCGUGGGUAGCAAACAGGAUUAGAUACCCUGGUAGUCCACGCCCUAAACUAUGUCAACUAGGUGUUGGGUGGGUAAAACCAUUUAGUACCGUAGCUAACGCGUGAAGUUGACCGCCUGGGGAGUACGGCCGCAAGGUUAAAACUCAAAGGAAUUGACGGGGACCCGCACAAGCGGUGGAUGAUGUGGAUUAAUUCGAUGCAACGCGAAAAACCUUACCUACCCUUGACAUGCCAGGAACUUGCCAGAGAUGGCUUGGUGCCCGAAAGGGAGCCUGGACACAGGUGCUGCAUGGCUGUCGUCAGCUCGUGUCGUGAGAUGUUGGGUUAAGUCCCGCAACGAGCGCAACCCUUGUCGUUAAUUGCCAUCAUUUAGUUGGGCACUUUAACGAGACUGCCGGUGAUAAACCGGAGGAAGGUGGGGAUGACGUCAAGUCCUCAUGGCCCUUAUGGGUAGGGCUUCACACGUCAUACAAUGGUCGGUACAAAGGGUUGCCAAGCCGCGAGGCGGAGCCAAUCCCAGAAAGCCGAUCGUAGUCCGGAUUGCAGGCUGCAACUUGCCUGCAUGAAGUCGGAAUCGCUAGUAAUCGUGGAUCAGCAUGUCACGGUGAAUACGUUCCCGGGUCUUGUACACACCGCCCGUCACACCAUGGGAGCGGGUUCCGCCAGAAGUAGGUAGCCUAACCGCAAGGGGGGCGCUUACCACGGCGGGGUUCGUGACUGGGGUGAAGUCGUAACAAGGUAGCCGUAGGGGAACCUGCGGCUG